Molecule: ribosomal RNA, 880 nt
Filed under: uncultured bacterium
Lineage: Bacteria
Description: bacterial SSU rRNA
Rfam family: Bacterial small subunit ribosomal RNA
Source: RNAcentral
GUCUGAUACUGGAUGGCUGAAUCGGGAGAGGGAUGCAGAUUCCAGGUGUAGCGGUGAAAUGCGUAGAUAUCUGGAGGAAUACCGGUGGCGAAGGCGGCAUCCUGGACCGACAUUGACGCUGAUGAGCGAAAGCUAGGGGAGCAAACGGGAUUAGAUACCCCGGUAGUCCUAGCCCUAAACGAUGAAUGCUUGGUGUGGCGGGUAUCGAUCCCUGCCGUGCCGAAGCUAACGCAUUAAGCAUUCCGCCUGGGGAGUACGGUCGCAAGGCUGAAGCUCAAAGGAAUUGACGGGGGCCCGCACAAGCGGUGGAGCAUGUGGUUCAAUUCGACGCAACGCGAAGAACCUUACCCAGGCUUGAACAGCGACUGACAUCCGGCGAAAGCCGGCUCCCGCAAGGGCAGUCGUAGAGGUGCUGCAUGGCUGUCGUCAGCUCGUGUCGUGAGAUGUUGGGUUAAGUCCCGCAACGAGCGCAACCCUUGUCCUCUGUUGCCAUCAGGUUAUGCUGGGCACUCUGAGGAGACUGCCGGUGAUAAACCGGAGGAAGGUGGGGAUGACGUCAAGUCAGCAUGGCCUUUAUGUCUGGGGCUACACACGUGCUACAAUGGCAGAUACAAACCGUCGCGAUGCCGCAAGGUGGAGCUAAUCGGAGAAAGUCUGUCUCAGUUCGGAUUGCAGGCUGCAACUCGCCUGCAUGAAGUUGGAAUCGCUAGUAAUCGCGGAUCAGCACGCCGCGGUGAAUACGUUCCCGGGCCUUGUACACACCGCCCGUCACAUCACGAAAGCUGGCUGUACUAGAAGUCGCCGCGCUAACCCGCAAGGGAGGCAAGCGCCUAAGGUAUGGUUAGUGAUUGGGGUGAAGUCGUAACAAGGUAACCAAGGG